This 490-nucleotide ribosomal RNA is filed under the name uncultured bacterium. Its description in RNAcentral is "partial 16S ribosomal RNA". It matches the Rfam family "Bacterial small subunit ribosomal RNA", at positions 30 to 507 of the family's 1533-position model. The record is from RNAcentral.
AUUGAACGCUGGCGGCAGGCCUAACACAUGCAAGUCGAACGGUAACAGGAAACAGCUUGCUGUUUCGCUGACGAGUGACGGACGGGUGAGUAAUGUCUGGGAAACUGCCUGAUGGAGGGGGAUAACUACUGGAAACGGUAGCUAAUACCGCGUAACGUCGCAAGACCAAAGAGGGGGACCUUCGGGCCUCUUGCCAUCGGAUGUGCCCAGAUGGGAUUAGCUAGUAGGGGGGGUAACGGCUCACCUAGGCGACUAUCCCUAGCUGGUCUGAGAGGAUGACCGCCGACACUGGAACUUGGCCACCGUCCUGGCGCCUGCGGGAGGCCGCAGUGGGGAAUAUUGCACAGUGGUCGCAAGCCUGAUGCAGCCAUGCCGCGCGUAUUGAGAAGGCCUUCGGGUUGUAAAGUACGUCCAGCGGUGAGGAAGGGAGUAAAGUUAAUACCUUGACUCAUUGACGUUACCCGCAGAAGAAGCACCGGCUAACUCCGUG